This 331-nucleotide unclassified non-coding RNA is filed under the name soil metagenome. Its description in RNAcentral is "partial contains 5.8S ribosomal RNA, internal transcribed spacer 2, and large subunit ribosomal RNA". The stretch from base 1 to 120 matches the Rfam family "5.8S ribosomal RNA", at positions 35 to 154 of the family's 154-position model. The record is from RNAcentral.
GAUGAAGAACGCAGCGAAAUGCGAUAAGUAAUGUGAAUUGCAGAAUUCAGUGAAUCAUCGAAUCUUUGAACGCACAUUGCGCCCCCUGGUAUUCCGGGGGGCAUGCCUGUUCGAGCGUCAUUUCACCACUCAAGCCUCGCUUGGUAUUGGGCAACGCGGUCCGCCGCGUGCCUCAAAUCGACCGGCUGGGUCUUCUGUCCCCUAAGCGUUGUGGAAACUAUUCGCUAAAGGGUGUUCGGGAGGCUACGCCGUAAAACAACCCCAUUUCUAAGGUUGACCUCGGAUCAGGUAGGGAUACCCGCUGAACUUAAGCAUAUCAUUAAGCGGAGGA